CCUACGGGAGGCAGCAGUGGGGAAUAUUGGACAAUGGGCGCAAGCCUGAUCCAGCCAUGCCGCGUGAAUGAUGAAGGCCUUAGGGUUGUAAAAUUCUUUCACCGGGGACGAUAAUGACGGUACCCGGAGAAGAAGCCCCGGCUAACUUCGUGCCAGCAGCCGCGGUAAU
This 169-nucleotide ribosomal RNA is filed under the name uncultured bacterium. RNAcentral's name for it is "partial 16S ribosomal RNA". It matches the Rfam family "Bacterial small subunit ribosomal RNA", at positions 338 to 524 of the family's 1533-position model. The record is from RNAcentral.